This 85-nucleotide transfer RNA is filed under the name Planctomycetota bacterium. Its description in RNAcentral is "tRNA-Leu". It matches the Rfam family "tRNA". Rfam says of the family: Transfer RNA (tRNA) molecules are approximately 80 nucleotides in length. Their secondary structure includes four short double-helical elements and three loops (D, anti-codon, and T loops). Further hydrogen bonds mediate the characteristic L-shaped molecular structure. tRNAs have two regions of fundamental functional importance: the anti-codon, which is responsible for specific mRNA codon recognition, and the 3' end, to which the tRNAs corresponding amino acid is attached (by aminoacyl-tRNA synthetases). tRNAs cope with the degeneracy of the genetic code in two manners: having more than one tRNA (with a specific anti-codon) for a particular amino acid; and 'wobble' base-pairing, i.e. permitting non-standard base-pairing at the 3rd anti-codon position. The record is from RNAcentral. Lineage: Bacteria; Pseudomonadati; Planctomycetota.
GCGGGAUUGGCGGAACUGGUAGACGCGCGGGAUUUAGGUUCCCGUGGGCUUGCCCGUGGGGGUUCGAGUCCCCCAUCCCGCACCA